GACGUAGGGCGCGAGCGUUGUCCGGAUUUAUUGGGCGUAAAGAGCGUGUAGGCGGCCAUACAGGUCAGCUGUGAAAACUCGAGGCUCAACCUCGAGACGUCGGUUGAAACCGUAUGGCUAGAGUCCGGAAGAGGAGAGUGGAAUUCCCGGUGUAGCGGUGAAAUGCGCAGAUAUCGGGAAGAACACCCGUGGCGAAGGCGGCUCUCUGGGACGGUACUGACGCUGAGACGCGAAAGCGUGGGGAGCGAACAGG
Molecule: ribosomal RNA, 253 nt
Filed under: uncultured bacterium
Lineage: Bacteria
Description: partial 16S ribosomal RNA
Rfam family: Bacterial small subunit ribosomal RNA
Source: RNAcentral